Molecule: non-coding RNA, 792 nt
Organism: Salvelinus sp. IW2-2015
Lineage: Eukaryota; Metazoa; Chordata; Actinopteri; Salmoniformes; Salmonidae
Source: RefSeq, a predicted model, not a curated record
ACCCAAAAAAGGGUUCUACCUGGAACCCAAAAGGGUUUAACCUGCAACCAAAAAGGGUUCUUCAAAGUGUUCUCCUAUCGGGACAGCCAAAUAAACAUUUAUGGUUCUACAUAGCACUUUUUUUUCUAAGAGUGGAAUAUCAACUUAGCUGCGGAUCAACUUGGCCAUCCCUAUAGGGUGACCGCCAGGGUGAGCAGCUAAGGUUCUCUGUGUAAAGGAGACUCAAAUGUAAUAAGGGGUUGAGGGAGUGAGCACAAGGUUGAAAAAGACGAGGAUUCUGUCCGUCCUACAAGCAGGGUGUCAUCAUAUGACAGACUAGUGUUGUUCCCUACAGUGGAGGAGUGGCCUACAGACAGAGCUAGRGCCAGGCUAGAGGGAGGAGCAGGCAGGGGAGUCUAAGAGGGCCAGACCCCUCUGUGGGUCGCUACCCUAUAGAAUCUUGCAAGAGGAGGCACCAGACAGUUAGUGACUGUAUGACCUAAUGUAGCAGGUGUAAAGUAAAUGCCUGAGCGGGGUCCCCACAUCUGGUUUUCAGGGGUAAAGAAGCUGGGUUGAAGAUGCUGUAUCCAUGAAAACCGGAUGUUUCAGGUUUCUUAAAACCCUGCUGAAGGUGGUGACCGACUGCAGGACUUUGUGUUUGUGACCACACUGAAAUCGUGGAGGUUUUUUUUCUCUCCCUUUCUGUUAUGUUGGUUUUGUUUUGUAAUAAUUUCACUGUAAAUGACCAUAACUAUGUUAAUCAAAGCAAAACCAAACUGACACUUCAAUAAAGAAUCUUGAAGGAAAUUCAAA